AAUGAUGUGAUUUCUUGCACUUCACUUGGUGGAAUUAUAAUUCCACCAAGUGAAGUGCAAGAAAUCACAUCAUU
Molecule: non-coding RNA, 74 nt
Organism: Paramuricea clavata
Lineage: Eukaryota; Metazoa; Cnidaria; Anthozoa; Malacalcyonacea; Plexauridae
Source: the annotation of a GenBank genome assembly